RNAcentral lists this transfer RNA (33 nucleotides) under Zaprionus indianus. Its description in RNAcentral is "partial tRNA-Met". The record is from RNAcentral. Lineage: Eukaryota; Metazoa; Arthropoda; Insecta; Diptera; Drosophilidae.
UAAAAAGAUAAGCUAAUUAAGCUACUGGGUUCA